AUGGUGCUGCAGAAACUCUUAUGCGUCUCAUUUUUCCUGCUGAUAUACACAUCCAAGGCGAUCAACCCGGAAGCAGAAGCCCUUCUCCAAUGGAAAUCCACUUUGAUUGGCAGCACCAAGUCACUAUCCUCAUGGUCGAUUGCCAACUCUACCUGCUCUUGGUUCGGCUCCAUGGUACGCUUCACGCCUUAUACUCUCCAGCGUUCCAGAACCUCACAGUGCUCAGCCUCAACAACAGCAACCUUGUUGGCGUUGUCCCAGCAAACAUCUCCCUGUUUCUCAGCCUCACUGUUCUCGACUUGA
This 303-nucleotide ribosomal RNA is filed under the name Triticum aestivum (bread wheat). RNAcentral describes it as "partial small subunit ribosomal RNA". Lineage: Eukaryota; Viridiplantae; Streptophyta; Magnoliopsida; Poales; Poaceae. The record is from RNAcentral.